Molecule: ribosomal RNA, 492 nt
Filed under: uncultured bacterium
Lineage: Bacteria
Description: partial 16S ribosomal RNA
Rfam family: Bacterial small subunit ribosomal RNA
Source: RNAcentral
AGUGAACGCUGGCGGUAGGCCUAACACAUGCAAGUCGAACGGCAGCACAGUAAGAGCUUGCUCUUACGGGUGGCGAGUGGCGGACGGGUGAGGAAUACAUCGGAAUCUACUUUUUCGUGGGGGAUAACGUAGGGAAACUUACGCUAAUACCGCAUACGACCUACGGGUGAAAGCAGGGGAUCUUCGGACCUUGCGCGAGUGAAUGAGCCGAUGUCGGAUUAGCUAGUUGGCGGGGUAAAGGCCCACCAAGGCGACGAUCCGUAGCUGGUCUGAGAGGAUGAUCAGCGACACUGGAACUGAGACACGGUCCAGACUCCUACGGGAGGCAGCAGUGGGGAAUAUUGGACAAUGGGCGCAAGCCUGAUCCAGCCAUACCGCGUGGGUGAAGAAGGCCUUCGGGUUGUAAAGCCCUUUUGUUGGGAAAGAAAAGCAGCAGGUUAAUACCCCGCUGUUCUGACGGUACCCAAAGAAUAAGCACCGGCUAACUUCAUG